CGGCGGCAGAGCGGCUCAGUCUCGUCACCCCGUGCGGCUUUUGGUCUUGGGGUGCGUUCUCAGCACCUAGGCUGUGUCAGGCAUUGGUGUCCUUCUCUUACCGUUGCCCCAUCGCACGUUUUGCUUGUGGAGGGCGGUCGUGACUGCCCCGUGCCUGCUGCUGCCUGUCUGCUGAAGGCUUUGUCUUAAAGAGCCGCAGCUCCUCAUGAGGCAGGAUAUAAAUGCCAAAGACCAUACCACACCAUGUGUUUUGAAGAAGUCCCUGCUGAAAUCACAGGGCAGUUCUGCUUUCAAAGUGACUGCAAGUUGCCAUAGCAUGUGCCUGGAUUGCAACAUUUGCUGAUGGAUCUUGUAAAACUCUCUUUGGUACUUGUUUUAAUGAAGAGAGAAAGAGGGUCCCAACUGUCCCACCGUGACCCAUACAAGAGUGCUGGAAGAGCAGAGUAGGAUUGGUUGCUACAUCUGAAGCCUUUCUAGAAGAAAGCUUCCCAUAUGGUGAAAAGAUUGUCAGUAAAUAACAACAAUAGCUUGACUUCCAGUCCUGAGAAGACACUAUGAUGCAUGGUAGGCUGUUGUACACUGCUAAGCUUCACAAGGCUCAAGAAGACAGGAAUCCAGCCCUGCAAGCACCAGGUGCAGUGUCAAGGUCAAGCCCAGAGGCAUCACCUGCAGCUGUUCCAGACAUCCUGUUUCCUCCCUGUGAUGUGUGCAUGAUCUUGUGUGAUGGAAAUGUUAUAGCAAACAUCGCUGUACAUUUGCAAAACUGAGUUGUCAAGCUCACAUUUUCAAAGCACCAAUCCAUCCUAAUUUAGGCAUCAUGUAAGCAAGCUCAUUUUCAGAGGUACUGAGUACUUAACAUUGGUUGAGCUGAAUGGAUGUUCCAGAUGUCCUCUCUCCUCUCCUCUCCUCUCCUCUCCUCUCCUCUCCUCUCCUCUCCUCUCCUCUCCU
This is a long non-coding RNA of Gallus gallus (chicken), 948 nucleotides long. NCBI's taxonomy places the organism in Eukaryota, Metazoa, Chordata, Aves, Galliformes, Phasianidae. The record is from Ensembl.